GACGAACGCUGGCGGCGUGCCUAAUACAUGCAAGUAGAACGCUGAAGAGAGGAGCUUGCUCUUCUUGGAUGAGUUGCGAACGGGUGAGUAACGCGUAGGUAACCUGCCUUGUAGCGGGGGAUAACUAUUGGAAACGAUAGCUAAUACCGCAUAACAAUGGAUGACACAUGUCAUUUAUUUGAAAGGGGCAAUUGCUCCACUACAAGAUGGACCUGCGUUGUAUUAGCUAGUAGGUGAGGUAAUGGCUCACCUAGGCGACGAUACAUAGCCGACCUGAGAGGGUGAUCGGCCACACUGGGACUGAGACACGGCCCAGACUCCUACGGGAGGCAGCAGUAGGGAAUCUUCGGCAAUGGGGGCAACCCUGACCGAGCAACGCCGCGUGAGUGAAGAAGGUUUUCGGAUCGUAAAGCUCUGUUGUAAGUCAAGAACGGGUGUGAGAGUGGAAAGUUCACACUAUGACGGUAGCUUACCAGAAAGAGACGGCUAACUACGUG
RNAcentral lists this ribosomal RNA (497 nucleotides) under uncultured bacterium. RNAcentral's name for it is "partial 16S ribosomal RNA". It matches the Rfam family "Bacterial small subunit ribosomal RNA", at positions 28 to 507 of the family's 1533-position model. The record is from RNAcentral.